Molecule: transfer RNA, 68 nt
Filed under: Fleutiauxia armata
Lineage: Eukaryota; Metazoa; Arthropoda; Insecta; Coleoptera; Chrysomelidae
Description: tRNA-Ser
Source: RNAcentral
AGUUAAUGAACUUGAUAUAAGUAUAUAUUUUGAAAAUAUAAAAAAGGGAUAAAUUUCCCUAUUAACUU